Molecule: ribosomal RNA, 214 nt
Filed under: uncultured bacterium
Lineage: Bacteria
Description: partial 16S ribosomal RNA
Rfam family: Bacterial small subunit ribosomal RNA
Source: RNAcentral
CAGUUCGGAUUGUAGGCUGAAACUCGCCUACAUGAAGCUGGAGUUGCUAGUAAUCGCGAAUCAGCAUGUCGCGGUGAAUACGUUCCCGGGCCUUGUACACACCGCCCGUCACACCAUGAGAGUUGGCAAUACCCAACGUACGUGAUCUAACCCGCAAGGGAGGAAGCGUCCUAAGGUAGGGUCAGCGAUUGGGGUGAAGUCGUAACAAGGUACC